Molecule: long non-coding RNA, 2191 nt
Organism: Schistocerca nitens (vagrant locust)
Lineage: Eukaryota; Metazoa; Arthropoda; Insecta; Orthoptera; Acrididae
Exons: 2
Source: RefSeq, a predicted model, not a curated record
UUCGAUGAACUUAGCAUCCUCCUGGUGAGAGACAAUGAAAACCCAGAUAGCAGAUACAGAUACCUUCAAAAUGGAGGUAAUAGCUGACAGGAGUGACGUAAGUUGUGGUCUUACUUCAAUUGUAAGUGAAUUGUGCGGUGAUUGCGACCGUUUUAAUGCCGACAUUAAUGAUUCAGAUUCCAGUUUAAACCAGGAGAUGGAAGGUUCUACGAAUAUUAAUUCCAGUACUUAUGAGAUGUCCUGGUCCUGGAGGUGGAAGGAUCUCCUCACAGUGGAGGCAGCUCCUGUCAGUAAGCUUUACCAAAUUAUGGGUACAGCUCCAACAGAUCCUCAUGAAACCAACUUCAGAAAUUGAUAGGAAAAACAGAAAACUGAUUCCAGACACCCCGUAUUUGACCACGAGCAUCGGCGACCAGGACUCAGAAUUGUGAAAGAGCUUCCUGCAGGCAACUACAGCAAUGCCUUCAAUUCCUGGUGCUCGCCUAGUGGAACUUUGACAAGAUCCUUCACCCAAAGCACACGAAACAAAUGUCAAAGGAGAACCAGUGGCAGGUUCAGACCUACCUUAUGUGAUAAGAAAAAAUGCUAAACAGAUUGAUAACUUGGGUUUCACAAUGCAAAGUCAACUUCACAAAAUAGUGCUUCAGCAGCGAUGAUGAAAUUUGCCAUUGUGGUGGCCUGCAGGAGCAUCAACAUCUAUUUGUCUGUUAACAGGAACCUGCUGGACACACUACUACAAGUGAUCUUGCUGCAGCUAAGAAAGCAGCCAAAAUUGUCAAAUAGUGGGCUCUCCCCAGAAUUUGAAGAAAGAGCUUCCUACAGGCAACUACGGCAAUGCCUUCAAUUCCUGGUCCUCGCCUAGUGGAACUUUGACAAGAUCAUUCACCCAAAGCACACAAAACAAAUGUCAAAGGAGAACCAGUGGCAGGUUCAGACCUACCUUAUGUCAUAAGAAAAAAUGCUAAACAGAUUGAUAACUGGGGUUUCACAAUGCAAAGUCAACUUCACAAAAUAGUGCUUCAGCAGCGAUGAUGAAAUUUGCCAUUGUGGUGGCCUGCAGGAGCAUCAACAUCUAUUUGUCUGUUAACAGGAACCUGCUGGACACACUACUACAAGUGAUCUUGCUGCAGCUAAGAAAGCAGCCAAAAUUGUCAAAUAGUGGGCUCUCCCCAGAAUUUGAAGAAAGAGCUUCCUACAGGCAACUACGGCAAUGCCUUCAAUUCCUGGUCCUCGCCUAGUGGAACUUUGACAAGAUCCUUCACCCAAAGCACACAAAACAAAUGUCAAAGGAGAACCAGUGGCAGGUUCAGACCUACCUUAUGUCAUAAGAAAAAAUGCUAAACAGAUUGAUAACUGGGGUUUCACAAUGCAAAGUCAACUUCACAAAAUAGUGCUUCAGCAGUGAUGAUGAAAUUUGCCAUUGUGGUGGCCUGCAGGAGCAUCAACAUCUAUUUGUCUGUUAACAGGAACCUGCUGGACACACUACUACAAGUGAUCUUGCUGCAGCUAAGAAAGCAGCCAAAAUUGUCAAAUAGUGGGCUCUCCCCAGAAUUUGAAGAAAGAGCUUCCUACAGGCAACUACGGCAAUGCCUUCAAUUCCUGGUCCUCGCCUAGUGGAACUUUGACAAGAUCCUUCACCCAAAGCACACAAAACAAAUGUCAAAGGAGAACCAGUGGCAGGUUCAGACCUACCUUAUGUCAUAAGAAAAAAUGCUAAACAGAUUGAUAACUGGGGUUUCACAAUGCAAAGUCAACUUCACAAAAUAGUGCUUCAGCAGCGAUGAUGAAAUUUGCCAUUGUGGUGGCCUGCAGGAGCAUCAACAUCUAUUUGUCUGUUAACAGGAACCUGCUGGACACACUACUACAAGUGAUCUUGCUGCAGCUAAGAAAGCAGCCAAAAUUGUCAAAUAGUGGGCUCUCCACAGAAUUUGAAGAGAAUUAUCUUGCUGUUUUUUUUUUUUUUUUUUUAAAUCUUCCUGUCUGUGUUUUAUCAAUACUUGUGGUACAUAUUUUUCCCUGUAUUUUUACUGUUAUUAAUUUCUAUCUGUAUGUUACUGAAUUUCCUCUGUAACUGAUUUUUUAUAUGUAUUCAAUCUCAAUAUGUAUGUUAUUAAUGCUCUGUCGGUUUUGUAAUAAUUCAAUGUCCUGGACAUGUAAAAUAUAGUAAAUAAAUUUCGAGAUUUAAAAGAGA